This 169-nucleotide ribosomal RNA is filed under the name Peltariopsis planisiliqua. RNAcentral's name for it is "5.8S ribosomal RNA". It matches the Rfam family "5.8S ribosomal RNA". Rfam says of the family: 5.8S ribosomal RNA (5.8S rRNA) is a component of the large subunit of the eukaryotic ribosome. It is transcribed by RNA polymerase I as part of the 45S precursor that also contains 18S and 28S rRNA. Lineage: Eukaryota; Viridiplantae; Streptophyta; Magnoliopsida; Brassicales; Brassicaceae. The record is from RNAcentral.
AAGUCUAAAACGACUCUCGGCAACGGAUAUCUCGGCUCUCGCAUCGAUGAAGAACGUAGCGAAAUGCGAUACUUGGUGUGAAUUGCAGAAUCCCGUGAACCAUCGAGUCUUUGAACGCAAGUUGCGCCCCAAGCCUUAGGGCCGAGGGCACGUCUGCCUGGGUGUCACA